UAUGGAUUCAGUUAGAAACGGUUAGGAAAGUAACUGUUAGUUGGUUAGGGCAAUAGUGAAUUCUGUUGGAACUGCUUUUCUGUUAUGGCUAUUAGUUUCAUUGUGAAAUUUUGUUAGUGAAUCAAAAUAGAAAAAGGCUAGUUAAAUGCUGUUGGUAAGUUGGUAGUUCAAAACUGCAGUUGGUGACUAUUGGUUCCUAAUGCUGAAAACAAGUAGAAACUGAGUUAGUCUUUGUAUUGGUUUUUUUUUGGACUGAUUUAUUCGACUGGAUGCAGGGCUGUUUGGUAAGCUUAUGAAGUUUGAGACUGAUUCACUAACUGAAGUACUUGCAGGGCAGUGGAGUGGUAGGAUUGUUAUGAGGUUACAGUUUUUGACUUGAAUUGUUUUUUUCCUGAAUGAAUUGGUGUUAGGAUUUUCUGCUGCAGUUUUGUUGUUUAGUUUGGUGAGCUGAUGCUGAUUGGCUUUUGCAUUUGAUGGAUGCUGCAAGUCUGUAUAAGUGGCGAACACGUUCGAAGUUGAAACCAUUAAUUGAUUCCUUGCAUUGUAGCUUCAUUGAGAACCAAAGAUGGCAGGCUGAGAUUAAGUCGACACGAGGGCAGCAGGUUGGUUCAAUGAAUGGGAACAGAAGGUGGGCUUAUGGUCAUAAAGCUUGAAGAUCGAAAUAGCAAAAUCGGAAGUGUGUCUAGAAUAGGAUUAGGAUAUUUUCUUUGUAGUUUUUGAUGUGAAUGUCUCAGUGUAAUAACAUGGAAUUGAUUUUGUGUAAUUGUGGAUGAACUUUGGAUGUCGUAAUGAUAAUGGGAAUUGAAAGAAUGUAUAGAUCGAAUGAAUUUGGACCUUAGUAAAGGGACUUGAAAUGGAUGUAUAGACACUCGACUUUUGUAUUGACUUAUAUUUCAACCAAA
Long non-coding RNA from Vicia villosa (hairy vetch), 902 nucleotides. RefSeq lists it as uncharacterized. Lineage: Eukaryota; Viridiplantae; Streptophyta; Magnoliopsida; Fabales; Fabaceae. The transcript is spliced from 3 exons. The record is from RefSeq and is a predicted model, not a curated record.